UCGGACGGGUGAGUAACGCGUGGUAACCGUGCCUUGUACUGGGGGACGAACAGUUGGAAACGACUGCUAAUACCGCAUAAGCACACAGCUUCGCAUGAAGCAGUGUGAAAAACUCCGGUGGUACAAGAUGGACCCGCGUCUGAUUAGCUGGUUGGUGAGGUAACGGCCCACCAAGGCGACGAUCAGUAGCCGGCCUGAGAGGGUGAACGGCCACAUUGGGACUGAGACACGGCCCAA
RNAcentral lists this ribosomal RNA (237 nucleotides) under uncultured bacterium. RNAcentral describes it as "partial 16S ribosomal RNA". It matches the Rfam family "Bacterial small subunit ribosomal RNA", at positions 98 to 334 of the family's 1533-position model. The record is from RNAcentral.